RNAcentral lists this non-coding RNA (46 nucleotides) under Xyrichtys novacula (pearly razorfish). It matches the Rfam family "Histone 3' UTR stem-loop". Rfam says of the family: The mRNAs of metazoan histone genes lack a poly-A tail. 3' end processing occurs at a site between a highly conserved stem-loop (modelled by this family) and a purine rich region around 20 nts downstream (the histone downstream element, or HDE). The stem-loop is bound by a 31 kDa stem-loop binding protein (SLBP - also termed the histone hairpin binding protein, or HBP). Lineage: Eukaryota; Metazoa; Chordata; Actinopteri; Labriformes; Labridae. The record is from RNAcentral.
ACAACGGCUCUUUUAAGAGCCACCAAUCGAUAUCUAAGAGAAUACU